RNAcentral lists this ribosomal RNA (301 nucleotides) under uncultured bacterium. RNAcentral's name for it is "partial 16S ribosomal RNA". It matches the Rfam family "Bacterial small subunit ribosomal RNA", at positions 509 to 807 of the family's 1533-position model. The record is from RNAcentral.
CAGCCGCCACGGUAAUACGAAGGGGGCUAGCGUUGUUCGGAUUUACUGGGCGUAAAGCGCACGUAGGCGGACGCUUAAGUCAGGGGUGAAAUCCCGAGGCUCAACCUCGGAACUGCCCUUGAUACUGGGUGUCUUGAGUCCGGGAGAGGUGAGUGGAACUGCGAGUGUAGAGGUGAAAUUCGUAGAUAUUCGCAAGAACACCAGUGGCGAAGGCGGCUCACUGGCCCGGAACUGACGCUGAGGUGCGAAAGCGUGGGGAGCAAACAGGAUUAGAUACCCCCGUAGUCCCUGUCUCUUAUAC